AUUCUCCGAGCCUCCGAUGCGCCAGGGGGCGCUGUAGAUGACCUAUUGGGACACGGGCUUCAGUCCCCCGCGCCACCCGCGCGAUGGGCUCCGAGGUGGCUCAGCUGCUGGAGGCUGCUGACUUCGCCGCUCGCAAACACCGGCAGCAGCGACGGAAAGAUCCCGAAGGGACUCCCUACAUCAACCACCCCAUCGGUGUGGCCCGGAUCCUAACCCACGAGGCGGGAAUCACUGACAUUGUGGUGUUACAGGCGGCCCUGCUCCACGACACAGUAGAAGACACAGACACUACCCUGGAUGAGGUAGAGCUGCACUUCGGAGCCCAGGUUCGGCGCUUGGUGGAGGAAGUAACAGACGACAAGACUCUACCCAAACUGGAAAGAAAGAGGCAACAGGUGGAGCAGGCACCCCACAGCAGCCCAGGGGCCAAACUGGUGAAACUGGCAGACAAACUAUACAAUUUGAGAGACCUGAAUCGCUGCGCCCCUCAAGGUGCAUGUGGCCCUGCGCGCACAUCACUUCAGCGCCCAGACUGAAGAAACAGCUCUAUCUAUUGAGGACAGGACAGAAACCUGCACUUUCCAGAAGCAACUCUGCUGACGGGACAUUCUGAACAACGCUGCUCUAAGAAAUACUGGACUAGGGAACACCAGCAGGGCAGAUGGCCUGUGAGCCCAGUGUGGUAGCAGAGGCAGGAAGAUGACAGACCGACAGCAAACCUGGUUCUCCAUGGCAAGUCUGGGAUGCGCUGAAGACCCCGUCCCUAGACACUUUUGUGUGGCAUUAACUUUACUGCACAUCUAAGACCUCCAAAGAGUAUCCUUUAUUCUGCUAAUUUCCUAGGGGUUCACAGUCUCCCCUGUCAUUGGACUACAAACCAUAUACCAGCAAACAGCGGCUUCAUACUCUUUCCUAACGCGUUUCGGGACAGAAAUUCCCACCCACACCUGUCUUGAGCCCAGGCUCUAUGCUAAGCCCUUCCCAUGCAUCAUGGUUUUCUUCACCGAGACCUGACUAGGAACCCAGGCCUGAGCCUGGCUGCGUGCACUCUGGAGGACCUGUCACUACUGAAUCUUCGAGUGACCGCUGGGCAGACCCUAGUGAUGCUCUCUGAGGAGCCGAGCAAGCUUUUCUCCUGCAGUGCCUACCUGCUGUAGAUGCUUGCCCACCUGCACAGGAAGGCAAUAAUUCUGCAGAUGGAACAAAGAUGAACCUUCUCAACCUGCCACUGGACCCAGCAUGGGGUGCCUUUUCAAGAUACCCAAGCACAGGGGUCUUGGCAGCUCUGUUUCCUUUCUAGGGAAAGGAACUUUCCAGAACCCCAUGACAGGAACUUGUAGAGAGCAGUGUGUGAGAUGAAGCAGCAGGGAGGAUGGGAGAUACUUCUCACCCCUGCCACCAACCAGCACAUCACCAGACGACAAGCGCAGGGCA
Molecule: RNA transcript, 1434 nt
Organism: Microtus ochrogaster (prairie vole)
Lineage: Eukaryota; Metazoa; Chordata; Mammalia; Rodentia; Cricetidae
Gene: Hddc3
Gene name: HD domain containing 3
Exons: 5
Source: RefSeq, a predicted model, not a curated record